Molecule: ribosomal RNA, 253 nt
Filed under: uncultured bacterium
Lineage: Bacteria
Description: partial 16S ribosomal RNA
Rfam family: Bacterial small subunit ribosomal RNA
Source: RNAcentral
UACGAAGGGUGCAAACGUUGCUCGGAAUUAUUGGGCGUAAAGCGCACGUAGGCGGCAUUGCAAGUCGGAUGUGAAAUCCCUCGGCUUAACCAAGGAAGUGCAUCCGAAACUGCAGUGCUUGAGUACUUAAGAGGAUCGCGGAAUUCCCGGUGUAGAGGUGAAAUUCGUAGAUAUCGGGAGGAACACCAGUGGCGAAGGCGGAGAUCUGGGAAGAUACUGACGCUGAGGUGCGAAAGCGUGGGGAGCAAACAGG